CGCGUAGGUGGUUAGGUAAGCGAGAUGUGAAAGCCCCGGGCUUAACCUGGGAACGGCAUUUCGAACUGUCUGACUAGAGUAUGAUAGAGGGUAGUGGAAUUUCCUGUGUAGCGGUGAAAUGCGUAGAUAUAGGAAGGAACACCAGUGGCGAAGGCGGCUACCUGGACCAAUACUGACAUUGAGGUGCGAAAGCGUGGGGAGCAAACA
RNAcentral lists this ribosomal RNA (207 nucleotides) under uncultured bacterium. Its description in RNAcentral is "partial 16S ribosomal RNA". It matches the Rfam family "Bacterial small subunit ribosomal RNA", at positions 568 to 774 of the family's 1533-position model. The record is from RNAcentral.